RNAcentral lists this ribosomal RNA (380 nucleotides) under uncultured eukaryote. RNAcentral describes it as "partial 18S ribosomal RNA". It matches the Rfam family "Eukaryotic small subunit ribosomal RNA", at positions 592 to 976 of the family's 1831-position model. The record is from RNAcentral.
CAAUAGCGUAUAUUAAAGUUGUUGCGGUUAAAAAGCUCGUAGUUGGAUUUCUGCCGAGGACGACCGGUCUGCCCACUGGGUGUGUAUCUGGCUCGGCCUGGGCGUCUUCUUGGAGAACGUAUCUGCACUUGACUGUGUGGUGCGGUAUCCAGGACUUUUACUUUGAGGAAAUUAGAGUGUUUCAAGCAGGCACACGCCUUGAAUACAUUAGCAUGGAAUAAUAAGAUAGGACCUCGGUUCUAUUUUGUUGGUUUCUAGAACUGUGGUAAUGAUUAAUAGGGAUAGUUGGGGGCAUUCGUAUUUAACUGUCAGAGGUGAAAUUCUUGGAUUUGUUAAAGACGGACUACUGCGAAGGCAUUUGCCAAGGAUGUUUUCAUUGA